AAUGAUUUCAUCCAAUCAAAAAGAUGAACUUUCCACUGUGUCAGGUACAUUUAUUACAUUGGAAUUAACAAAAUCAUUAAAUCAAAUCUCUGAAACAAGAAUGAGAAUUUAAAAAGCUCAAGAAAAAUAGUCCCUCUAUCCCAAAAAGAAAAAGAAAAAAAAAUUGCAAUGCAUACUAUGAAAUAGCACAGCUGUCUACUGAAGAUACCCUCUUGAGUUUUAAUCCAUUCUAGG
Molecule: unclassified non-coding RNA, 234 nt
Filed under: Hevea brasiliensis (rubber tree)
Lineage: Eukaryota; Viridiplantae; Streptophyta; Magnoliopsida; Malpighiales; Euphorbiaceae
Source: RNAcentral